RNAcentral lists this ribosomal RNA (482 nucleotides) under uncultured bacterium. Its description in RNAcentral is "bacterial SSU rRNA". It matches the Rfam family "Bacterial small subunit ribosomal RNA", at positions 29 to 506 of the family's 1533-position model. The record is from RNAcentral.
UUGAACGCUGGCGGAAUGCUUUACACAUGCAAGUCGAGCGGCAGCGCGGGGGCAACCCUGGCGGCGAGCGGCGAACGGGUGAGUAACAUAUCGGAACGUACCCUAUCGUGGGGGAUAACACAUCGAAAGCUGUGCUAAUACCGCAUACGACCUGAGGGUGAAAGCAGGGGAUCGCAAGACCUUGCGCGACAGGAGCGGCCGAUAUCGGAUUAGCUAGUUGGUGAGGUAAAGGCUCACCAAGGCGACGAUCCGUAGCUGGUCUGAGAGGACGACCAGCCACACUGGAACGGAGACACGGGCCAGACUCCUACGGGAGGCAGCAGUGGGGAAUUUUGGACAAUGGGGGCAACCCUGAUCCAGCCAGGCCGCGUGAGUGAAGAAGGCCUUCGGGUUGUAAAACUCUUGCGGCAGGAACGAAACGGUGAGCUCUAACAUAGCGUGCUAAUGACGGUACCGGAAGAAGAAGCACCGGCUAACUACGU